CAGCGGUUAGUGCUUUGCUUACAGAGGCCGCAGUCGUCGGAGCAGGCGCAGAGGCCGGAGGACCACUUGCCGACGACCGGCCCGACCGCGACCGCGCCGGGGCUGCUGAUGGGGAUGCCGACCACCGGCUGCGCCAUCUCGGCCGCUGGCUGGCUGGAGGAGGCGGCGGGCUUGGCCGGAUACAUUUCGUCCCUUCACUUGUUGCACAGAGUCUCUUGGUGGCGUGGCGUACGAACGCCGAGGCUCUCAAUCGGUCGUCCGUGCCGAUGCAAGUUGUUGCUGCGGGUUGUGUCUGCCUCGGCCGGCGCUCGCUUAAUUUGCCG
Molecule: unclassified non-coding RNA, 323 nt
Filed under: Zea mays
Lineage: Eukaryota; Viridiplantae; Streptophyta; Magnoliopsida; Poales; Poaceae
Description: misc RNA Zm00001eb211250
Source: RNAcentral